AAACUUACCUGGUCAGGAAUGGCGCAGCUCCGCCAUUGCGCUGUUCUAUUCUCGAGCAGGUCAAUGCACUCAGACGUCUGUAAAGGAGUACGAGCUCUCUUUUGGGGGUGUCGAUGGCAUAAUUUUUGCUAGAGGUGUUUUGCUUUCGGGCUGGCACUAA
This is a small nuclear RNA of Condylostylus longicornis, 160 nucleotides long. RefSeq annotates it as U1 spliceosomal RNA. The transcript has a single exon. Lineage: Eukaryota; Metazoa; Arthropoda; Insecta; Diptera; Dolichopodidae. The record is from RefSeq and is a predicted model, not a curated record.